RNAcentral lists this ribosomal RNA (497 nucleotides) under uncultured bacterium. RNAcentral describes it as "partial 16S ribosomal RNA". It matches the Rfam family "Bacterial small subunit ribosomal RNA", at positions 28 to 507 of the family's 1533-position model. The record is from RNAcentral.
GACGAACGCUGGCGGCGUGCCUAAUACAUGCAAGUUGAGCGCUGAAGGUUGGUACUUGUACCAACUGGAUGAGCAGCGAACGGGUGAGUAACGCGUGGGGAAUCUGCCUUUGAGCGGGGGACAACAUUUGGAAACGAAUGCUAAUACCGCAUAAAAACUUUAAACACAAGAUUUAAGUUUGAAAGAUGCAAUUGCAUCACUCAAAGAUGAUCCCGCGUUGUAUUAGCUAGUUGGUGAGGUAAAGGCUCACCAAGGCGAUGAUACAUAGCCGACCUGAGAGGGUGAUCGGCCACAUUGGGACUGAGACACGGCCCAAACUCCUACGGGAGGCAGCAGUAGGGAAUCUUCGGCAAUGGACGAAAGUCUGACCGAGCAACGCCGAGUGAGUGAAGAAGGUUUUCGGAUCGUAAAACUCUGUUGGUAGAGAAGAACGUUGGUGAGAGUGGAAAGCUCAUCAAGUGACGGUAACUACCCAGAAAGGGACGGCUAACUACGUG